GCGGUAAUUCCAGCUCUGUAAGCGUAUACCAAAGUUGUUGCAGUUAAAACGCUCGUAGUCGGACGUUGGCUUAGGAUGUAUUGCUGGCGUAAAAACCACGUUACAUCUUUAGCCUUUGUGGAGGGGGUUUCGAGGCUCUUAAUUGAACCUUUGGGAUUCCGCAACCGUUUACUGUGAAAAAAUUAGAGUGUUCAAAGCGGGCGUUUGCCAUGAAUACAUUAGCAUGGAAUAAUAGAAUAGGACCUGGUCCUGUUUUGUUGGUUUGUGAGUAUCAGGUAAUGACCAAGAGGGACGGUUGGGGGCAUUUGUAUUCCGGCGUUAGAGGUGAAAUUCUCGGAUU
RNAcentral lists this ribosomal RNA (340 nucleotides) under uncultured rhodophyte. RNAcentral's name for it is "SSU rRNA". It matches the Rfam family "Eukaryotic small subunit ribosomal RNA", at positions 576 to 926 of the family's 1831-position model. The record is from RNAcentral. Lineage: Eukaryota; Rhodophyta.